GAAGCGCUCCUCCACCAGCGGGCAUUUUUGCGCUCACGCGCGACUGCUCCAGGCUGUCAUUGCUCUCCUGACCGUCUACGAGAAGACUGGGAAACUUGAGAGGGAUUCCCCAGGAUCAACCAUCUGAGCAGAUACCUUGGAAUGUCCCCAGAUUUCAGAGCCUCGGACCAGCAGCAACACACUCUGAAGUAGGUCUCAGAAGACAAAAAGCUGAAAUCAACUCAUGCUUCCUGCUACACAGAAUCCACUGAGAGGAAAAGG
RNAcentral lists this long non-coding RNA (261 nucleotides) under Homo sapiens (human). RNAcentral's name for it is "non-protein coding lnc-TMEM206-5:15". The record is from RNAcentral. Lineage: Eukaryota; Metazoa; Chordata; Mammalia; Primates; Hominidae.